GUGUCAGCAGCCGCGGUAAUACGGAGGGUGCGAGCGUUAAUCGGAAUUACUGGGCGUAAAGCGCAUGCAGGCGGCCUGUUAAGCCAGAUGUGAAAGCCCGGGGCUUAACCUAGGAAUUGCAUUUGAAACUGGCAGGCUAGAGUCUUGUAGAGGGGGGUAGAAUUUCAGGUGUAGCGGUGAAAUGCGUAGAGAUCUGAAGGAAUACCAGUGGCGAAGGCGGCCCCCUGGACAAAGACUGACGCUCAGAUGCGAAAGCGUGGGGAGCAAACAGGAUUAGAAACCCCUGUAGUCC
This 292-nucleotide ribosomal RNA is filed under the name uncultured prokaryote. Its description in RNAcentral is "partial 16S ribosomal RNA". It matches the Rfam family "Bacterial small subunit ribosomal RNA", at positions 505 to 796 of the family's 1533-position model. The record is from RNAcentral.